Molecule: ribosomal RNA, 367 nt
Filed under: Staphylococcus haemolyticus
Lineage: Bacteria; Bacillati; Bacillota; Bacilli; Caryophanales; Staphylococcaceae
Description: bacterial SSU rRNA
Rfam family: Bacterial small subunit ribosomal RNA
Source: RNAcentral
GACGUUAGCGGCGGACGGGUGAGUAACACGUGGGUAACCUACCUAUAAGACUGGGAUAACUUCGGGAAACCGGAGCUAAUACCGGAUAAUAUUUCGAACCGCAUGGUUCGAUAGUGAAAGAUGGUUUUGCUAUCACUUAUAGAUGGACCCGCGCCGUAUUAGCUAGUUGGUAAGGUAACGGCUUACCAAGGCGACGAUACGUAGCCGACCUGAGAGGGUGAUCGGCCACACUGGAACUGAGACACGGUCCAGACUCCUACGGGAGGCAGCAGUAGGGAAUCUUCCGCAAUGGGCGAAAGCCUGACGGAGCAACGCCGCGUGAGUGAUGAAGGUCUUCGGAUCGUAAAACUCUGUUAUUAGGGAAGAA